GAUGAACGCUGGCGGCGUGCCUAAUACAUGCAAGUCGAGCGAACGGGCGAGAAGCUUGCUUCUCUGAUGUUAGCGGCGGACGGGUGAGUAACACGUGGAUAACCUACCUAUAAGACUGGGAUAACUUCGGGAAACCGUAGCUAAUACCGGAUAAUAUUUUGAACCGCAUGGUUCAAAAGUGAAAGACGGUCUUGCUGUCACUUAUAGAUGGAUCCGCGCUGCAUUAGCUAGUUGGUAAGGUAACGGCUUACCAAGGCAACGAUGCAUAGCCGACCUGAGAGUGUGAUCGGCCACACUGGAACUGAGACACGGUCCAGACUCCUACGGGAGGCAGCAGUAGGGAAUCUUCCGCAAUGGGCGAAAGCCUGACGGAGCAACGCCGCGUGAGUGAUGAAGGUCUUCGGAUCGUAAAACUCUGUUAUUAGGGAAGAACAUAUGUGUAAGUAACUGUGCACAUCUUGACGGUACCUAAUCAGAAAGCCACGGCUAACUACGUG
This 497-nucleotide ribosomal RNA is filed under the name uncultured bacterium. RNAcentral describes it as "partial 16S ribosomal RNA". It matches the Rfam family "Bacterial small subunit ribosomal RNA", at positions 28 to 507 of the family's 1533-position model. The record is from RNAcentral.